UUCUCUAUUUCUCUAUCCAUUGAUUGGAAGAUAACGUAUUACCAAUUGAACUAUGUUUUCCAAUUUCAAGGCAUGUACAUAUAUACCAUAGUAUCAUAGUGGGCUACUCGUAAGGUUAUAUAGCCCAAGACUAUUGAUAGACCCUCAUAAGGCCCAUUGGAUUGAAAAUUAGAAGUUUUAAAUUACUCUAAAUCAUAUCCUCUAUCUAUUUAUUUUUUUCUCAUUUUGCUACACUCAUUUUCCGGCCAAACUUAG
This 255-nucleotide long non-coding RNA is filed under the name Salvia miltiorrhiza (redroot sage). RNAcentral's name for it is "long non-coding RNA (SMIL_LNC012377)". Lineage: Eukaryota; Viridiplantae; Streptophyta; Magnoliopsida; Lamiales; Lamiaceae. The record is from RNAcentral.